GUAUUCUUCUAAAUCUUCAAUCAACCUCAAAUCUUGGUCCUUUAAUUUGCUUUGAUUUGAAUUUCAAAAUCCCUAAUUCUAUCCUUUUAGUUGUAAAAUCAAUAUAACCCACCGAUUGAUUAUGAGAAAUCAGAAACCAAAUUUCCAACAUCGAUGGUACACCAUGCUUUUGAUCUCUCGAUUUAGGUAGGUUUAAUAUGUUUUAUAUCAAGUUUUUUAAGUUUGAUUUGAGGUUUACCAGGUUUACAUUUAUCAAUUUCCAACAUGUUUUUAGAGGCUAAAAAGAUCACAACGAAGACAGAUUGAGCUGGGUAUUUUCAACCCAUAACGAUUGUUGCUGCUACUACUUUGAAGAGCAGAAACAACAAAGUUAAACUCAUGUUUGUGUUUUUCAAUUUUUGUGUUUUUUGUUCUGUGGGUCUUAUAAUUCUGAUGUUUCUCCUUUUUUUUCAUGAUUCCUCAUGUUUGUUUCUUUGACUGCUGACUUUUCGAAUUGCUGUUGUUGUUUUUUUUGUUGAUGGAUUGAAGUUUUUUUUAUUCAGAAUCAAAAUGUGAAAGUUUUGGGUCAUCUGAUCUUGAUAUUGAAACAAAGUUUUGUUAUUCUAUAUGUAUGAAGAAACUCCCCCUUUAUAUAAGGAAAGAGUUGUGGAUGCUGAUAUAUUUGCUUUUUUUUUUUUGGGUUCAUCUGGUAUUAGUUAAUCCGGAAUCCAAAAAGCUUAAAAAUCAGAAAAUUAUGGAGAUCAGGUAGCUUUAUUUGAAUAUGGGUAGAUAUUCUAUAUUUCUGAUAGGUUUUAUUGGUUUAAUUGAAGCCUAAAGAACCAUGCUUAAAGGAUUUGUACUUGAAUUUUCUUGCAGGUAACUAUUUUGUAUUUACAUUAUAUGAUUGAUCUCAAAAAUAGCAUGAUCAAAAUAUUUUUGGACUUUGAAAUUCAUUCACGUAAUAUCGAAUUCAACUUAAUCAUAAUUUCUUAAUUAUUUUGGAAUUUUCUCAUGGCCUUUCCUUAGGAUGUUUAAUUGUUUGUAGAUCUGAUAUAAAAUGACUAAGUGUGUGUACAAUGGAUUGUAGAUCUGAUGAUAUGUCAUAUGUUUUUUUAAAUGUAGAUCUGAUAUGACUUCGUGUGUAUACUCUUCAAACAGGCAAAAUAAGAUGAAGGGACAUAAUGAUUGAAAGGCUGAUAAGUUGGUAUUAAUAUAUCAUUGAUCCGAUGUGAAGAUGGAGAUGAUGAAAAAGCUCUUAAAGAGCAAAAAAGUCAAUUUCUAAGGGUUUUCUUGGAUGUGUCUAUCUGAAGCCCUUAAAAAUUCAUUGCUCUCCACGAUAACCUUUUAAUAAGGGCAUUGUUUCUCUUUAAGCUCAAAAAGCUUUAAAAGUUCAUGUUGUUUUUAUUCUUAUUAUGUUACUGAAACUUUUUGAGUUGAUGCAGUUACUUUUAUAAUAGGUGCAUAUUGUUUGUAUUUUAAUUUAGUCCCAUAAUGAAUCAGAUUGACAUCUUUGGUUUAUAUGCUUCGUUAUGUCAUUCAUGCAAUAUGUUUAAAAUUAGUUUGUACUUGGAUGACAUUGCUUUUUGU
This 1566-nucleotide long non-coding RNA is filed under the name Lactuca sativa (garden lettuce). Its description in RNAcentral is "long non-coding RNA (LSAT_LNC001907)". Lineage: Eukaryota; Viridiplantae; Streptophyta; Magnoliopsida; Asterales; Asteraceae. The record is from RNAcentral.